RNAcentral lists this ribosomal RNA (492 nucleotides) under uncultured bacterium. RNAcentral's name for it is "partial 16S ribosomal RNA". It matches the Rfam family "Bacterial small subunit ribosomal RNA", at positions 29 to 507 of the family's 1533-position model. The record is from RNAcentral.
AGUGAACGCUGGCGGUAGGCCUAACACAUGCAAGUCGAACGGCAGCACAGUAAGAGCUUGCUCUUACGGGUGGCGAGUGGCGGACGGGUGAGGAAUACAUCGGAAUCUACUUUUUCGUGGGGGAUAACGUAGGGAAACUUACGCUAAUACGGCAUACGACCUACGGGUGAAAGAAGGGGACUUUCGGACCUUCCGCGAUUGAAGGAGCCGAUGCCGGAUUAGCAAGUUGGCGGGGUAAGGGCCCACCAAGGCGACGAUCCGUAGCUGGUCUGAGAGGAUGCUCAGCCACACUGGAACUGAGACACGGUCCAGACUCCUACGGGAGGCAGCAGUGGGGAAUAUUAGACAAUGGGCGCAAGCCUGAUCCAGCCAUACCGCGUGGGUGAAGAAGGCCUUCGGGUUGUAAAGCCCUUUUGUUGGGAAAGAAAAGCAGCAGGUUAAUACCCCGCUGUUCUGACGGUACCCAAAGAAUAAGCACCGGCUAACUUCGUG